UAACUCCAUCUUCCCAGGGAACAGGUUAUGCAACAGCUUAAGGGCUUAGGAUGGAGUGAAAUUACAUUCGGUUCUUGGGGAAGGGGUCCAUGCAUUUGGCAAUUGUUGUAUUGAUACGUAGAUGGAAUAUUUUAUACACCUCUAUUUUUCAUAUCUUUCAAAGCAUGCUGCAUGCAGGUUUUUCUUAUUUGUCAAUGAGAAACACAUUGGACAGUGUCUUUUGUCAUAUCAAACAUUUUACAGUUUUAAUUUAGCUUGUCUUUUUGCCACAAAUUACAUAUAAGUUUUUUUAAUAUUCAACAUCAUCAUUACAGCAUCACAUAUACACACACAUAAAUGUAGUUGUGAUUGCAUAUUUACUUGUGGCCAUGUGAAUCUGUGCAUGCUUUUUUUUUUUU
This 398-nucleotide unclassified non-coding RNA is filed under the name Hevea brasiliensis (rubber tree). The record is from RNAcentral. Lineage: Eukaryota; Viridiplantae; Streptophyta; Magnoliopsida; Malpighiales; Euphorbiaceae.